GGGAAGGGGGGCUGGUGGGGGCCUAUACAUGCAAGUCGAACGAGUUCUCGUUGAUGAUCGGUGCUUGCACCGAGAUUCAACAUGGAACGAGUGGCGGACGGGUGAGUAACACGUGGGUAACCUGCCCUUAAGUGGGGGAUAACAUUUGGAAACAGAUGCUAAUACCGCAUAGAUCCAAGAACCGCAUGGUUCUUGGCUGAAAGAUGGCGUAAGCUAUCGCUUUUGGAUGGACCCGCGGCGUAUUAGCUAGUUGGUGAGGUAAUGGCUCACCAAGGCGAUGAUACGUAGCCGAACUGAGAGGUUGAUCGGCCACAUUGGGACUGAGACACGGCCCAAACUCCUACGGGAGGCAGCAGUAGGGAAUCUUCCACAAUGGACGCAAGUCUGAUGGAGCAACGCCGCGUGAGUGAAGAAGGCUUUCGGGUCGUAAAACUCUGUUGUUGGAGAAGAAUGGUCGGCAGAGUAACUGUUGUCGGCGUGACGGUAUCCAACCAGAAAGCCACGGCUAACUACGUGCCAGCAGCCGCGGUAAUACGUAGGUGGCAAGCGUUAUCCGGAUUUAUUGGGCGUAAAGCGAGCGCAGGCGGUUUUUUAAGUCUGAUGUGAAAGCCCUCGGCUUAACCGAGGAAGCGCAUCGGAAACUGGGAAACUUGAGUGCAGAAGAGGACAGUGGAACUCCAUGUGUAGCGGUGAAAUGCGUAGAUAUAUGGAAGAACACCAGUGGCGAAGGCGGCUGUCUGGUCUGUAACUGACGCUGAGGCUCGAAAGCAUGGGUAGCGAACAGGAUUAGAUACCCUGGUAGUCCAUGCCGUAAACGAUGAAUGCUAGGUGUUGGAGGGUUUCCGCCCUUCAGUGCCGCAGCUAACGCAUUAAGCAUUCCGCCUGGGGAGUACGACCGCAAGGUUGAAACUCAAAGGAAUUGACGGGGGCCCGCACAAGCGGUGGAGCAUGUGGUUUAAUUCGAAGCAACGCGAAGAACCUUACCAGGUCUUGACAUCUUUUGAUCACCUGAGAGAUCAGGUUUCCCCUUCGGGGGCAAAAUGACAGGUGGUGCAUGGUUGUCGUCAGCUCGUGUCGUGAGAUGUUGGGUUAAGUCCCGCAACGAGCGCAACCCUUAUGACUAGUUGCCAGCAUUUAGUUGGGCACUCUAGUAAGACUGCCGGUGACAAACCGGAGGAAGGUGGGGAUGACGUCAAAUCAUCAUGCCCCUUAUGACCUGGGCUACACACGUGCUACAAUGGAUGGUACAACGAGUUGCGAGACCGCGAGGUCAAGCUAAUCUCUUAAAGCCAUUCUCAGUUCGGACUGUAGGCUGCAACUCGCCUACACGAAGUCGGAAUCGCUAGUAAUCGCGGAUCAGCACGCCGCGGUGAAUACGUUCCCGGGCCUUGUACACACCGCCCGUCACACCAUGAGAGUUUGUAACACCCGAAGCCGGUGGCGUAACCCUUUUAGGGAGCGAGCCGUCUCAGGGUGGAGCACUUUCCGGGCCGGGC
RNAcentral lists this ribosomal RNA (1496 nucleotides) under Lacticaseibacillus paracasei. Its description in RNAcentral is "bacterial SSU rRNA". It matches the Rfam family "Bacterial small subunit ribosomal RNA". The record is from RNAcentral. Lineage: Bacteria; Bacillati; Bacillota; Bacilli; Lactobacillales; Lactobacillaceae.